This 243-nucleotide ribosomal RNA is filed under the name uncultured bacterium. RNAcentral's name for it is "partial 16S ribosomal RNA". It matches the Rfam family "Bacterial small subunit ribosomal RNA", at positions 15 to 246 of the family's 1533-position model. The record is from RNAcentral.
GAUCCUGGCUCAGGAUGAACGCUAGCUACAGGCUUAACACAUGCAAGUCGAGGGGCAGCAUGUAUCUGGCUUGCCAGAUACGAUGGCGACCGGCGCACGGGUGAGUAACGCGUAUCCGACCUGCCGCACACUCCGGGAUAGCCUUGCGAAAGCAAGUUUAAUACCGGAUUGCCGUAAGGACGCCGCAUGGUGUUUUUACGAAAGGGGUUUACCGGUGUGCGAUGGGGAUGCGUCCCAUUAGCG